UACGUAGGGUGCAAGCGUUGUCCGGAAUUAUUGGGCGUAAAGAGCUUGUAGGCGGUUUGUCGCGUCUGCUGUGAAAUUUCGGGGCUCAACCCCGAACUUGCAGUGGGUACGGGCAGACUAGAGUGUGGUAGGGGAGACUGGAAUUCCUGGUGUAGCGGUGAAAUGCGCAGAUAUCAGGAGGAACACCGGUGGCGAAGGCGGCCUGCUGGGCAGUAGCUGACGCUGAGGCGCGACAGCGUGGGGAGCAAACAGG
RNAcentral lists this ribosomal RNA (253 nucleotides) under uncultured bacterium. RNAcentral describes it as "partial 16S ribosomal RNA". It matches the Rfam family "Bacterial small subunit ribosomal RNA", at positions 524 to 776 of the family's 1533-position model. The record is from RNAcentral.